This 406-nucleotide long non-coding RNA is filed under the name Panax ginseng (ginseng). Its description in RNAcentral is "long non-coding RNA (PGIN_LNC012328)". The record is from RNAcentral. Lineage: Eukaryota; Viridiplantae; Streptophyta; Magnoliopsida; Apiales; Araliaceae.
UUAGAUAGGAAAGAGGAAAGGAGAGCUAAUAUGAAGAAACGACCGUAAUUCAUUGGAGCUGGUCCCGAAGAGUUGGGUUCGAUUGGCUUCGGGAGAUGUCUUCGAGUUCGAAGAUGGUUUCAUGGCUUCGGGAGAUCGGAAUUUCUUCUGAAUCGGCGUCAUAACUUCGGGAAGAUUGGAUUAGUUAUUAUUAUUAAUAUUUAGUUCUUUUAUCGUAAUAAUAUAAUUUUAUUAGGUAGUAAAUCUUUUAUAAUUAAGUUGUUACCUAUUAGGAUUUUUUUUCAUAAUUUUAGGAAGUUUGUUGGAAUUUGUUUCCUUAUUUCUAGGAAGAUUAUAGAGUGACUUGGACAGAAAAUUUUGUUAGCUAUAUAAAUUCGGCUUGUGUGUUGAAAUAAUUAUUCAUGAU